GGGGAAGAGUGGCAUGGACGUGUUACUGCUCUCUCUGUUGCACCAAAUUUCAGCAGCUGGGUUUGGCUGCUAAAUUGAUGGAACUACUGGGAGAAAUUUCAGAAAACUGAGGUGGAUUUUUCAUCAAUUUCUUUGAGAGAGUAUCAAAUCAGGUUGCAGUAAAUAUGUAUAAGCAGCUCGGCUACAGUGUGUACCAGACAGUAUUGGAGCGUUACUCUGCUAGCAGUGGAGAGCCAGAUGAAGAUGCUUACAGUAAGUGGUUGUUGUGCCUUAAGUUGAAUGGAAAGGUUCUUGUGUUGAGGGUUCCUGGGCCUGUUUGUAUUUUUUUUAAAUAUGAAACAAGUUCAGAUAGCCAUUGAUGAAUGGGAUUCUGUAUACUGCUUUAGAUAGCUUUUCCUACUGAAAAGUACAUCAGUUAUGAAACUUAAUUGCAGGAAACAGAAUGAAUCUGUGUGAGGUGAAGUUCAGGUUGGAUGUUAGGAAAAUCUUAUCCACUGACAGGGCGUUCCAUCAGGGCACCAAACCUGUCAAGAGCUCAGGAAGCAUCUGGAUGAUGCUUUUAGUCAUAUGGUUUAGUUUUAGGUAGUCCUGCGAGAAGCAUGGAGUUGGACUUGGUGAUCCUUAUGGGUCACUUGCAACUCAAGAUAUUCUAGGAAUCUAGGAAAUCCUCUCAAAAAAUGAUCUUAAUGUAACAGAGAAGUCACUUAAUAUGGCUUUGUGCAAUGACUGUCUUCUAUAAUAGCAUUAUUUUCUUUUGCCAUAGAUAUGAGGAAAGCUCUUUCCAGAGAUAUAGAGAAGAAAUCAAUUAUACCUCUGCCUCAUCCUGUGAGACCAGAAGACACUGAGUAACUGAAAACUGAUUCUCAGACAACCUAGUAAGAGUGUUGGUUUCCUUCUCCCCAAAGCCCCCAAGAACUUACAGAUGACAAAUAUUAGGCUCAAUGUUUUUCACCAUGAAAUACCAAAAAGCAAUAUUGAGAAGCUUACCAGCGCUGCUUCUGUUGGUAUUGGCUGCAUAUUCGUGCUCUUACCCUAUUGUUCUUCCUUUCAAACCAUGACACUUUGGAGACUAUUAAAAUGGAAUUGCCUCCUGUA
Falco peregrinus (peregrine falcon) is the source of this 1095-nucleotide long non-coding RNA. RefSeq lists it as uncharacterized. Lineage: Eukaryota; Metazoa; Chordata; Aves; Falconiformes; Falconidae. The transcript has 2 exons. The record is from RefSeq and is a predicted model, not a curated record.